GAGGUAGCUUGCUACUGAUCUUAGCGGCGGACGGGUGAGUAAUGCUUAGGAAUCUGCCUAUUAGUGGGGGACAACAUUUCGAAAGGAAUGCUAAUACCGCAUACGUCCUACGGGAGAAAGCAGGGGAUCUUCGGACCUUGCGCUAAUAGAUGAGCCUAAGUCGGAUUAGCUAGUUGGUGGGGUAAAGGCCUACCAAGGCGACGAUCUGUAGCGGGUCUGAGAGGAUGAUCCGCCACACUGGGACUGAGACACGGCCCAGACUCCUACGGGAGGCAGCAGUGGGGAAUAUUGGACAAUGGGCGGAAGCCUGAUCCAGCCAUGCCGCGUGUGUGAAGAAGGCCUUAUGGUUGUAAAGCACUUUAAGCGAGGAGGAGGCUACUUUAGUUAAUACCUAGAGAUAGUGGACGUUACUCGCAGAAUAAGCACCGGCUAACUCUGUGCCAGCAGCCGCGGUAAUACAGAGGGUGCAAGCGUUAAUCGGAUUUACUGGGCGUAAAGCGCGCGUAGGCGGCUAAUUAAGUCAAAUGUGAAAUCCCCGAGCUUAACUUGGGAAUUGCAUUCGAUACUGGUUAGCUAGAGUGUGGGAGAGGAUGGUAGAAUUCCAGGUGUAGCGGUGAAAUGCGUAGAGAUCUGGAGGAAUACCGAUGGCGAAGGCAGCCAUCUGGCCUAACACUGACGCUGAGGUGCGAAAGCAUGGGGAGCAAACAGGAUUAGAUACCCUGGUAGUCCAUGCCGUAAACGAUGUCUACUAGCCGUUGGGGCCUUUGAGGCUUUAGUGGCGCAGCUAACGCGAUAAGUAGACCGCCUGGGGAGUACGGUCGCAAGACUAAAACUCAAAUGAAUUGACGGGGGCCCGCACAAGCGGUGGAGCAUGUGGUUUAAUUCGAUGCAACGCGAAGAACCUUACCUGGCCUUGACAUAGUA
This 924-nucleotide ribosomal RNA is filed under the name Acinetobacter sp. RNAcentral describes it as "bacterial SSU rRNA". It matches the Rfam family "Bacterial small subunit ribosomal RNA", at positions 72 to 991 of the family's 1533-position model. Lineage: Bacteria; Pseudomonadati; Pseudomonadota; Gammaproteobacteria; Moraxellales; Moraxellaceae. The record is from RNAcentral.